AUGUGUGGGGUCAUGCCCAAAUGUCUGUUAGUGGACACAAUUAUUAUGUCAGUUUCAUUGAUGCUUACAGUCGGUUUACUUGGCUUUAUCUUAUUAAUAAAAAGUCUGAUGUGUUUGAUGUUUUUCUACAGUUUCAAGCACACGUUGAGCGUCUCCUGA
This 159-nucleotide ribosomal RNA is filed under the name Triticum aestivum (bread wheat). Its description in RNAcentral is "partial small subunit ribosomal RNA". Lineage: Eukaryota; Viridiplantae; Streptophyta; Magnoliopsida; Poales; Poaceae. The record is from RNAcentral.